Populus euphratica (Euphrates poplar) is the source of this 782-nucleotide long non-coding RNA. RefSeq lists it as uncharacterized. The record is from RefSeq and is a predicted model, not a curated record. The transcript has 2 exons. Lineage: Eukaryota; Viridiplantae; Streptophyta; Magnoliopsida; Malpighiales; Salicaceae.
UUAAGAUUAACCUGUAAAUUAUCUUUUGGAUGCCAGAGGGUGAAAGGUUUUAUGCUUAGCUGUUUACUUGCACAAUCUUUUUAUCUGUGCGGAAGAAAACAAGCGUAUUCUACUCUGGCUAUUUCAAUACUGACUACGAUGUUGAUCCCCCUUUCAGUCUUACUGUUUAUUUGCAUCAAAGGUACGAUGCUUUGUUCUUGAAAUCUUUCUCACUAUUUAUUGACUUUAUGCAACAUUCUCAUGAACAUUUUAUCCAUCUACGGUGAAAUUAGCAAGGGCGAAGCCGUUGUAGCUGAUGCUACGAUCAAGUUGCAAUUCAUAGGGUUAUGCUAUAUUUGAAAACUCGCUGCAUCAAUCAGCUACUAUGAAGUUGCAUCUUACUACGAGAAGAAUGGGACGAACAGGAAUCAAAAUCUGUUGAAGAAAUGGAGGGUGAGAAGAGGAAGAAGAAUGAUUUAAAAGAUUUAUUGACUCUGAAGGUACAAUGGAGAAAUGAAUUCCAUAAGAAUAUCUGCAGGAAGCUAAAACUCACAUGAAUUUCCGUCAAGAUUCUUGGUGUGGUAUCUAUUAUCCAUGAUAGAGGCAUCUGUUGAAGAAAACAUUAAGUCCAUACAACUUGCUGUUCAAAUUGAUCAACCAUAUAUUGGCCUUCUUCUUCGUUUUCAAAUUGCAUCCUACACAGAAUGCCAGGAAUUUGAACAUGCUUUGUAUCAUUUUCCUCCCCUAAUAAUUUAUGUUAAUACAGUUUAGACAGUCUCUUCAAUCCACUGUUUUGAAAAUUC